Molecule: long non-coding RNA, 560 nt
Filed under: Saimiri boliviensis boliviensis (Bolivian squirrel monkey)
Lineage: Eukaryota; Metazoa; Chordata; Mammalia; Primates; Cebidae
Description: lncRNA (ENSSBOG00000036530.1)
Source: RNAcentral
CUUGUACAGCCAUUUUUUUUGUUAGAAACACUGCCCAGGCCCUGAGCUCGGAGGGGGACAUCAUCUUUAGACAGAGCCCCCAAGGAACAUUCAGUUUUGGCGUGGAUGCUCGAGCUGCCAUCAGCCACGUCACAUCCCAGGUCUCGGUCCGGCUGAACAGAUCUGACUCCGACAUCCCCACAGACCCACAGUUCCUCCAUAUUCCGGGCAUGGACGUUGCUCCCUCGGGGGAUGACGCUGACUCGCCUGCCAAGGGUUGUCUGUGAGCAGCCGGCCUGCUGGGCGACGGGCCGAAGGAAGGCAGGAUGCGGGCCGGGGGAGGGAGCCCACACACGCAGCGUCGCGCUUGGCCAGACAGCCCCUGCAGAACCAAGGACAGAUGGCAGGGGGUUUGCAAUCCAUCAUUUGGAAGUGAUUGUCCAGGUGCAGGCAGCUGCCAAGCACUAGAGUGUACAGCCUUGCUGGGUCCCUAUCUGUGCAAAUGUCCGGCUGGGAGCUGGUUCUGCUGGAGGUCGACGCCAGCCAGGACACUCGGAGAAGCAGCCGGGGCUGGGGUGUGA